RNAcentral lists this ribosomal RNA (474 nucleotides) under Nematostella vectensis (starlet sea anemone). RNAcentral describes it as "Eukaryotic large subunit ribosomal RNA". It matches the Rfam family "Eukaryotic large subunit ribosomal RNA", at positions 968 to 1444 of the family's 3401-position model. The record is from Rfam by way of RNAcentral. Lineage: Eukaryota; Metazoa; Cnidaria; Anthozoa; Actiniaria; Edwardsiidae.
NNNNNNNNNGAUAGCUGGAACUUACGGCAGUUUUAUCAGGUAAAGCGAAUGAUUAGAGGUCUUAGGGUUAAAACAACCUUAACCUAUUCUCAAACUUUAAAUUGGUAAGAAGUCCGACUUGCUUAAUUGAAGCCGGACAGUGAAUGCGAGUUCCUAGUGGGCCAUUUNUGGUAAGCAGAACUGGCGAUGCGGGAUGAACCGAACGCGCGGUUAAGGUGCCAAAGUCGACGCUCAUCAGACCCCACAAAAGGUGUUGGUUGCUCUAGACAGCAGGACGGUGGCCAUGGAAGUUGGAAUCCGCUAAGGAGUGUGUAACAACUCACCUGCCGAAGCAACUAGCCCUGAAAAUGGAUGGCGCUCAAGCGUCGCACCUAUACCGUGCCGUCGGAGCAGAUGCGAAGCUCCGACGAGUAGGAGGGCGUGGGGGUCGUGACGCAGCCUCUGGCGCGAGCCUGGGUGAAACGGCCUCCAGUG